AUCAGAUACCGUCGUAAUCUUAACCAUAAACUAUGCCGACUAAGUGUUGGAUGAAAAUUUAUAAAUAAAACUAUCUUCUUUAAAGGAAUAGUUUUUUAGAUGCUUCCUUCAGUACCUUAUGAGAAAUCAAAGUCUUUGGGUUCUGGGGCGAGUAUUCGCGCAAGCGAGAAAGUUAAAAGAAUUGACGGAAGGGCACCACCAGGCGUGGAGCUUGCGGCUUAAUUUGACUCAACACGGGGAAACUCACUAGUUUAAGACAAGAGUAGGAUUGACAGAUUGAUAGCUCUUUCUUGAUUUCUUGGAUGGUGAUGCAUGGCCGUUUUUAGUUCGUGAAUAUGAUUUGUCUGGUUAAUUCCGAUAACGAACGAGAUCUUAACCUGCUAAUUAGCGGCGAGUACGCUAUAUCCUCUAUCGGGGGAUUGGAUCUGACGUUUAUGCGAACUAUGCUUAAUCAAUUGGUUUACCUUUUGCUCUUUUGCAUAUGCUUCUGCAUUUACGUCUUCCUCUCUUCUGGUAAGGAUGUAUUCGCUUUAUUUAAUGCUUCUUAGAGGAACGAUGUGUGUCUAACACAAGGAAGUUUAAGGCAACAACAGGUCUGUGAUGUCCUUAGAUAUACUAGGCUGCACGCGUGCUACACUGAUAUGUAAAACGAGUGCUUAAAUUUAUAUUUGCGCGUGGGUCAUGCCUGCGCGCGAUAUAUUUUUCCUCCACUGAAAAGUGUAGGUAAUCUUUAUCAAUACAUAUCGUGAUGGGGAUAGAUUAUUGCAAUUAUUAAUCUUGAACGAGGAAUGCCUAGUAAGCAUGAUUCAUCAGAUUGUGCUGACUACGUCCCUGCCCUUUGUACACACCGCCCGUCGCUCCUACCGAUUGAAAGAUAUGAUGAAUUG
This 887-nucleotide ribosomal RNA is filed under the name Plasmodium chabaudi adami. It matches the Rfam family "Eukaryotic small subunit ribosomal RNA", at positions 1007 to 1708 of the family's 1831-position model. The record is from RNAcentral. Lineage: Eukaryota; Apicomplexa; Aconoidasida; Haemosporida; Plasmodiidae.